This is a long non-coding RNA of Betta splendens (Siamese fighting fish), 1841 nucleotides long. RefSeq lists it as uncharacterized. The record is from RefSeq and is a predicted model, not a curated record. The transcript has 2 exons. NCBI's taxonomy places the organism in Eukaryota, Metazoa, Chordata, Actinopteri, Anabantiformes, Osphronemidae.
AAAUAUGGUUAUUAGUGCGUUUCAUGUUUCCAUGAGUGGGAAACUGGUUAUGGGUUCAAAAGGAGAAUCGCUUAGUGUAAAAGACAUAUGCACCUUAAAAGAAAAAUUAGAUACAAAAGAAACGAUCUGAAAAAGCAAAACUAUCAAAACUAAAGCCCUAAAAGAAACAAAAGAGUGAUGAGAGUAACAGGAAAAAAGGAGAUAACAACUCUGGGGAAGAAUUGUUUGCACUCUGCCACAGACACACAUACACCACACACACACGUCAUGUCAAGAGCAAAUGCUCCCAUUGUUUCUGCUCUCUAUUCUAAUGCAGAACUGAGCGCGAUGAGGGUAAAUCCGGAUCUGGACUCCUUUCCCACCAUCAGCAGAAGAACCGAAGGAGAAGAAGCGCCAACCAACAACCAGAACAGGGUGGAAGCUCUGACACCACAGCAGCUGGAGGACACAGACCACAGCAUGGACGCCUCACAGACUCCCACAACGUCUGCAGCCAUCACGUUCUGGGCUCAUCAGAUGAACCAGCUACUACAAGCAUGUGUGUCUGACACAGACACCUGCUUAUGACAAUCAGCAAAGGAAAACAAGGACAGAGCAACAGCAGAGAAGACGUGCUCUGACACAGACACUGGUUGAAACAACAGGAGAGGCUUCAGACGUGAUCGGCCCAAAAGAGCUGCAUUCGAGGAUCCAGGAAAGGUCUGUCAUCGAGGAACAACUGUCCCAUUGAAAGGCUUCACCCACUGGUGCUCACAUCAGACUGAUGGUUGGGGAAGGAGGAAGGUGACGGUUCCUUUUCACGUGAUGUACAAGACGGUACCGCAAAAACACACACACAUUCAUACACGCAAUGAAGAAACACGCUUACAGCUGAUACACGCUCAAAUUCAUGUUCAUGCUUAUCUGCUCGCAAUGAAGAAUCGCUUUUUGCUAAAAAAAAAAUCCCACAGAGUGAUUUUAAAAAUAUGACAAACAGCUAAAUGACAACUGCUGCAUGACUUUACAGUCUGAUGGGUUCAAACUAUUUUAACUUGCAACAAAUUCAGUAAUAAAAUCCUCUAUGUUUCUAAAAGGGUUUGUGCACAAUAUAGGUUUGUCUGGCCAGACUAGAAGACUAUAGGAAACAAAACAGACUAUAGAGAAAACAAAACAGACGGUAGAAAAAGAAACAAAAAAACAGACUAUAGGAAGACUGAGACUGACUGAAACAGACUAUUAAUGACUAUUAAAGGGAAGACGACUAUUAGAGAGAAGUAAUAAUAAUUACUGUACGUACCAGACUAUUAAAGAAAAACUUAUUCUUUCACUGUCUUGUGCAACAUCUGACAGCAAGACACCGUAACAUUCAUUUUUGCUUUCAAACUUAUGCCCAGUUUAAAUUUUAGGAAGAGAUCUUGUGUAGUUUAGGUAUUUGAUUGAUUUCCACUCCAGACGGAGUGCAGGUUACGUCUACAGACAUUCUAAAUAAUCCCUCUUUUGUUGGUGUUAACUUCAGCUCAGCUGUGCUCUUAUCAUUGGCUGCUGAGGGGGGGCUGUAACUGAGGCCCUCACACAGGCUGCAUCACAGCUUGUUUAUGAUUUCACACACACACACUGACAAACUGGCCUCAACUUCCCUCUUUUGGGAUGAACACAGGUCUGCGCUUGCGAUUUCUUUUACUAACGAACAAAAAAGAUUUUUGAUGUUUAUUCUACAGCUCCACACGUCCCUCUGUGAAAACAUGAUGGAGACAGAUGCAGGACGUGGGUCCUUUCGUGAACAGAUGUGAACGGGGUGGAGACUGGUGAACGACUUCCGACCCCAUAGGACGCUCUGACCCAACACUCAGCCUUACAGGAAG